Humulus lupulus (European hop) is the source of this 108-nucleotide small nucleolar RNA. The record is from RefSeq and is a predicted model, not a curated record. Lineage: Eukaryota; Viridiplantae; Streptophyta; Magnoliopsida; Rosales; Cannabaceae.
AUACCAUGAUGCGGGUACUUCCUUAACAACUCUUUGAAUCUCUCCCAUGCAUCAUACAACGAUUCCCCUUCCAUCUGGUAGAAACUAUUAAUUUUCCCUCUUAACUUU